UGAACGCUGGCGGCAGGCCUAACACAUGCAAGUCGAGCGGAUGACGGGAGCUUGCUCCUUGAUUCAGCGGCGGACGGGUGAGUAAUGCCUAGGAAUCUGCCUGGUAGUGGGGGACAACGUUUCGAAAGGAACGCUAAUACCGCAUACGUCCUACGGGAGAAAGCAGGGGACCUUCGGGCCUUGCGCUAUCAGAUGAGCCUAGGUCGGAUUAGCUUGUUGGUGAGGUAAUGGCUCACCAAGGCGACGAUCCGUAACUGGUCUGAGAGGAUGAUCAGUCACACUGGAACUGAGACACGGUCCAGACUCCUACGGGAGGCAGCAGUGGGGAAUAUUGGACAAUGGGCGAAAGCCUGAUCCAGCCAUGCCGCGUGUGUGAAGAAGGUCUUCGGAUUGUAAAGCACUUUAAGUUGGGAGGAAGGGCAGUAAGUUAAUACCUUGCUGUUUUGACGUUACCGACAGAAUAAGCGCCGGCUAACUCUGUGCC
Molecule: ribosomal RNA, 484 nt
Filed under: uncultured bacterium
Lineage: Bacteria
Description: bacterial SSU rRNA
Rfam family: Bacterial small subunit ribosomal RNA
Source: RNAcentral